CCUACGGGUGGCAGCAGUGGGGAAUAUUGGACAAUGGGCGAAAGCCUGAUCCAGCCAUGCCGCGUGUGUGAAGAAGGCCUUCGGGUUGUAAAGCACUUUCAGUGGGGAAGAAAGCCUUGGGGCUAAUACCCUCGAGGAAGGACAUCACCCACAGAAGAAGCACCGGCUAACUCCGUGCCAGCAGCCGCGGUAAUACGGAGGGUGCGAGCGUUAAUCGGAAUUACUGGGCGUAAAGCGCGCGUAGGCGGUCUGAUAAGCCGGUUGUGAAAGCCCCGGGCUCAACCUGGGAACGGCAUCCGGAACUGUCAGGCUAGAGUGCAGGAGAGGAAGGUAGAAUUCCCGGUGUAGCGGUGAAAUGCGUAGAGAUCGGGAGGAACACCAGUGGCGAAGGCGGCCUUCUGGACUGACACUGACGCUGAGGUGCGAAAGCGUGGGUAGCAAACAGGAUUAGAUACCCCAGUAGUC
Molecule: ribosomal RNA, 465 nt
Filed under: Vreelandella stevensii
Lineage: Bacteria; Pseudomonadati; Pseudomonadota; Gammaproteobacteria; Oceanospirillales; Halomonadaceae
Description: partial 16S ribosomal RNA
Rfam family: Bacterial small subunit ribosomal RNA
Source: RNAcentral